Non-coding RNA from Danio rerio (zebrafish), 621 nucleotides. NCBI's taxonomy places the organism in Eukaryota, Metazoa, Chordata, Actinopteri, Cypriniformes, Danionidae. The record is from RefSeq and is a predicted model, not a curated record.
UCAAAGCAAGAACCCCUGUGAGGCAAAUCCCUCACCUCCUGCAGAUCCAGCUUUGAACAUUGCACCUUAACAUGCUCCGUAAAAGAUAUUAUAUGGAAUCAAUUUGAGCCGGAACACACCUCAUGUUCACAUUCUUAUGCUGGCUCCCUGGUAUAACUGGACAAAAAUUUUGCAACACAAUUAUAAAAGUUGAUUACCAUUGUUCGGAGCAUUACACGGACACAUAGCCACAGGUAAACCCAGGCACAUAGAUAACACCUUAGUCUUCAAAGACCCAGGAGUCAAAUCUCCUUAAUUGAGAUCGUUUGUCCAUGUUUAUACAAACAAAACACAUUAGCCUCACACACAUAGAACAGAAUAAUUAAUCUGAUGACAGACGAGACAACAAACACCCUCUGACACCCUCUGUCAGCUGAAAAGAAAUUACACAUUUGCAUGGCUUUGACAACAAAUUGAUGGUAUAAAACUUCAAUAGAGGCGAACUUGCCAAUAAAUUUAAGAUAGAUACACUGACUGUUGUGGGGAUGGUUGACAAACCAGAGGGCCCCUGGUUUUCCAAUCUAUCACCAAUAACAGGUAUAAGUGCUAAAGUGAUUAAAAUUAAACCGAAGUGAGGACACU